GAGGCGGGAGCGGGAGCGGUAGGCCCGGCCCCCGGAGGAGGGGGCCGGCGCCGGAAGCCCCCUGCGCUCCGGGAAGCCAAGAGAGGAGAGCGCCCGGUCCAAGGACAAAGCUUGGAUCCAGGUCCAGCCCUGAGCUUCCCGGGCUGCACGCGUUUCUGGGGGUUGUCGCCCUGGUUACAGAUAGUUGGGAGCAUGCCUUUUCUCUCCUCGCUAGACCACUGUUAUUCAGACCUGGAGACAUUCAAAGAAGAGUAUAAAUUGAACUGAAUUGAGAAAGGGAAAAGUUUAGGACUGCAAGGACCUUAGAAUUCCUGGGAACUUUAACCUGGAUGGAGCAAUUAAGAACUAGUUGACGACAGAGGGCAAAAUACACCUAGUAGCUGGAUCCAGAAAGUCUUAGGUGAGGAUUUUCCCUAAUAUUUAAAUUUCUCAGCACUGAGGUCCCUGCUACUGAAGUGAAGUGGGCCCAGGGAAGCUAGAGAGAAAUUUAAAUGCCUAGAAAGGGGAUGAGAAAGCAAAGAGAAUGCGUCCUUGGAAGAUAGCCUUGUCAAAGACUGGCAGGUGGCAUGGAGGGAAGAGCCCCAGAGCACAGCCUCUGGACACGCAGGCUCAACGGCCAUGGCUCACGGGCCCAGCCGCUCCACGGCAUGUAGGAUCUUCCCGGACCGGGGCAUGAACCCGUGUCCCCUGCAUCAGCAGGCGGACUCUCAACCACUGCGCCACCAGGGAAGCCCUGCCUGUUUUUUUAAUAAAUUUAUUUAUUUAC
Lagenorhynchus albirostris (white-beaked dolphin) is the source of this 766-nucleotide long non-coding RNA. RefSeq lists it as uncharacterized. The record is from RefSeq and is a predicted model, not a curated record. NCBI's taxonomy places the organism in Eukaryota, Metazoa, Chordata, Mammalia, Artiodactyla, Delphinidae. The transcript is spliced from 2 exons.